AACUUUUGGCAAUGGAUCUCUUGGCUCUCGCAUCGAUGAAGAACGCAGCGAAAUGCGAUAAGUAAUGUGAAUUGCAGAAUUCAGUUAAUCAUCGAUUCUUGGAACGCACCUUGCACCCUUUUGCAUUCCGAAGGGUAUGCUCGUUUGAGGGUCAUUGUACUCUCACACUCCCGAUGCUUUUGGAUUGGGAGUGGUGGACUUGGGUGUUGCUGCUUUACUGUGGCUCACCUCAAAUGGAGUAGUGCAACUCUUGGUUGGACAUAGUACGGCCUGAUAAGUGUCUCCACCGGCGCCUCAUUAGAGGGUGGCCGAUCGGGAGCUCUGUGCUUCAAACCGUCUUCGGACAACAUCUGACAACUUGACCUCAAAUCGAGUAGGACUACCAGCUGAACUUCAGCAUCUCAAUAAGCGGAGGCA
Molecule: unclassified non-coding RNA, 417 nt
Filed under: uncultured Sebacina
Lineage: Eukaryota; Fungi; Basidiomycota; Agaricomycetes; Sebacinales; Sebacinaceae
Description: sequence contains ITS2
Rfam family: 5.8S ribosomal RNA (bases 1-154)
Source: RNAcentral